RNAcentral lists this unclassified non-coding RNA (343 nucleotides) under Basidiomycota sp. RNAcentral describes it as "partial contains small subunit ribosomal RNA, internal transcribed spacer 1, and 5.8S ribosomal RNA". The stretch from base 1 to 47 matches the Rfam family "Eukaryotic small subunit ribosomal RNA", at positions 1785 to 1831 of the family's 1831-position model. The record is from RNAcentral. Lineage: Eukaryota; Fungi; Basidiomycota.
AAAGUCGUAACAAGGUUUCCGUAGGUGAACCUGCGGAAGGAUCAUUAUCACGUAUCCAAACGUAUAAACCAAUGUGCACCCCUACAUUCCUCCUUUUGGGUUUCAUGAAGUGGCAGAGAAGUUGAUAUUCUGAUUCAUGGUCUUUCAGAAUUUUUCUGUCUUGAUUCGCGAGAAUCAGCCUUCUAAUCCGGGAGUCGUAUCAAACCAUGCUUGUUUUUACUAUAACCAACUUGUACCUUUCUGAACUAACUUUGGUUGGAAACUUUCGCUCUCGCGAGAGAAAGUCCCAACCUUGAUUUAUAUAAACUCUGAACUACUCUUAACAACGGAUAUCUUGGUUCUC